UCGUCAGCUCGUGCCGUGAGGUGUCGGCUUAAGUGCCAUAACGAGCGCAACCCCUGCGUGUAGUUGCCAUCAGGUGAUGCUGGGCACUCUGCACGGACUGCCACCGUAAGGUGUGAGGAAGGUGGGGAUGACGUCAAAUCAGCACGGCCCUUACGUCUGGGGCUACACACGUGUUACAAUGGGUGGUACAGCGAGUUGUCCGCCGGCAACGUCGGACCAAUCUUGAAAACCAUUCUCAGUUCGGAUUGGGGUCUGCAACCCGACCCCAUGAAGCUGGAUUCGCUAGUAAUCGCGCAUCAGCCAUGGCGCGGUGAAUACGUUCCCGGGCCUUGUACACACCGCCCGUCAAGCCAUGAAAGCCGGGGGCGCCUGAAGUCCGUUUCCGCGAGGUUCGGCCUAGGGUGAAACUGGUGAUUGGGGCUAAGUCGUAACAAGGUAGCCGUA
Molecule: ribosomal RNA, 444 nt
Filed under: uncultured bacterium
Lineage: Bacteria
Description: bacterial SSU rRNA
Rfam family: Bacterial small subunit ribosomal RNA
Source: RNAcentral